GUGGGACUAAGAGGAAUACGUGUCUGUAUGACAAGAGAUAAGCUAUUCCUUUCAUUGUUCCAUCUAAUUCUGCCCCAACUUCACUGAGACCUACUAUGUGCCUCUCCAAGGACUGCUUUUGCUAAGCAUAAGCAGGACGCAAGAAAACAGAACAGUUCAGAUAAUUGACUUUAUUGUGCAAGCAUUCAGACAUGGGGGUGGAGAAUUUACACAGUCUGUGUGGGGCAGCAGAAGAUUGGGGUUGCAGGACUGUGAAGAAGGACUGACCAGAAGUACCAGCUCCAUCACAGACCCUAUCAGGUGCACUUGUGUUAGCAGGUACUCUCGAUAUCAAGUACCACCACUCCAGCUUUUCCCAGCUUUCAACAUUCUGCUUAAAAUAUUGAGCAGUGAAGUCUUUCUCGUGGGCACAUACACAGUUUUCCAGUUGUUCGUCAUGGGACUUGCACGGGAAAAUUCCAGUGGCAUUUGGAUGGCACCUCAUAGGUCUGGAUCUUCAGUUUCUGUCUGAAUGUGUAAAGAGCAUCUCCUUUAAAGUUCAUGAACGUGGAGAAUUUCCCUUGAAAGCUCUCUGUUCCUUUAUACUCCCAGAUUCUUCCACCACUACACAGGAGAGAUCAUGACUACAAAUGUGGUAUUAGCAGAAGGAAUGGAAGGACUCCUGAAGGAAACAACAUAUCUAAAUGUCUCAGUAGUAGAGAACAUAAUAAAGAACAACAG
RNAcentral lists this long non-coding RNA (720 nucleotides) under Gallus gallus (chicken). RNAcentral's name for it is "lncRNA (ENSGALG00010003441.1)". Lineage: Eukaryota; Metazoa; Chordata; Aves; Galliformes; Phasianidae. The record is from RNAcentral.